RNAcentral lists this ribosomal RNA (137 nucleotides) under uncultured bacterium. RNAcentral's name for it is "partial 16S ribosomal RNA". It matches the Rfam family "Bacterial small subunit ribosomal RNA", at positions 355 to 509 of the family's 1533-position model. The record is from RNAcentral.
UGGGGGAUAUUGCACAAUGGGGGGAACCCUGAUGCAGCGACGCCGCGUGAACGAAGAAAUAUUUCGGUAUGUAAAGUUCUAUCAGCAGGGAAGAAAAUGACAGUACCUGACCAAGAAGCCCCGGCUAACUACGUGCC